This 345-nucleotide unclassified non-coding RNA is filed under the name soil metagenome. RNAcentral describes it as "partial contains 5.8S ribosomal RNA, internal transcribed spacer 2, and large subunit ribosomal RNA". The stretch from base 1 to 119 matches the Rfam family "5.8S ribosomal RNA", at positions 35 to 154 of the family's 154-position model. The record is from RNAcentral.
GAUGAAGAACGUAGCGAAAUGCGAUACGUAAUGUGAAUUGCAAAUUCAGUGAAUCAUCGAGUCUUUGAACGCACAUUGCGCCCCCUGGUAUUCCGGGGGGCAUGCCUGUCCGAGCGUCAUUGCUGCCCUCAAGCACGGCUUGUGUGUUGGGCCCCGUCCUCCGAUCCCGGGGGACGGCCCGAAAGGCAGCGGCGGCACCGCGUCCGGUCCUCGAGCGUAUGGGGCUUUGUCACCCGCUCUGUAGGCCCGGCCGGCGCUUGCCGAUCAACCCAAAUUUUUUAUCCAGGUUGACCUCGGAUCAGGUAGGGAUACCCGCUGAACUUAAGCAUAUCAAUAAGCGGAGGA